Molecule: RNA transcript, 2866 nt
Organism: Helianthus annuus (common sunflower)
Lineage: Eukaryota; Viridiplantae; Streptophyta; Magnoliopsida; Asterales; Asteraceae
Exons: 14
Source: RefSeq, a predicted model, not a curated record
UUGGAUCCUUUAUAUUUGCUUCUGACUCCCAUCUUCUUUCUCACGCUUCAUUCCAAACCCUAAAUCAUUCUUUCAACCGUUUCUCUUUAGCUUCACUACAUUCUCUUUAAAUCAAACUUGGAUCCAUGGAUUAUUUUCAAUGAAGAAUCUAACUGAUGUUGAAAGAGAUAUGGGAUCAUCAUCAUCGUCGCCGAUCGCUAGAGGACGCCGACGACCAUCAAUUUUGGCAGAGAAAUGAUGAUGGAUUUAUGCUUUAUAUGACAGUGACACCUAUUGCUUCGCCGACGAACACGAUGGAGCUGGUGAAUUUAGGGUUUUGCCUUAAAGUUGGAGAGAGCCUGUGACGAGGGCAAUUGCAAUUGUAUUUUGAUGGACUAUCUUUGAGGGUUAUAUCUAAGCUUCGAGAUGUUAUGAUCUUUUGGAUAUCUGAAAUGCUUGAAGUGAUCAAACAAGUUAAAUAAUUUGCUGUCCACUUAGGAAAAUUACAAAGAAAAGAUGUCUAAAUUUCAGGGCUCAAAGAGAAAGCAUCCAUCCAUCAAUAGCAUCCUGAAGUGGUCGAGAGGCGUAUUUAUACAGUAGCCACUGGUAUUUAUUUCUAUUCACGGACCUCAUGUUCCUGGUUUGUCUUCUUCUAUUAGAAGUUUUUGUUCAUCGGCGUGGUCGUACAAGCUAGGCCAGGUUGGAUCUCAUACAGAGAGUAUACUGGUGCAAGCACUGAGGAAGAGAGGACAUGUUGUUGUUGUUACUGGCGAUGGAACAAAUGACGCCCCUGCUUUACAUGAGGCUGAUAUUGGUCUUGCGAUGGGGAUUCAAGCCUCUAAAUUAGCAAAAGAGAGUAGUUCUGGUUGGGUUUGUUAUUAACUUUCGGUUUAUGUAUUAAGUUUACUAAUAUAUUACUUUCAUAUUCAAAUUUAAAAUUUUAACUAAAAAAUCAACAGUAUCUUAUCCACAAAAGCGUUUUAUAAUUAUUGAGUAUAUUUAUUUUAUUAAGCCCGUGUAAUACAUGAGGCUUUACAUGCUGGUAUAAAAAAAUAAAUUUAAAAGGAAAUGGUCAAGCGUUGCCAGAAUAGGUUCAGGUUCGUAUCUAGAUGUAAAUAGUUGCUUUAGUCUAACAACAUGUCUUUGUAUGUUUUAUUUUAUCGUGAGACACGCCACUGGAGAGAUCAUGUGAGCAUCCAUUUAGCUUAUGCUAGAAGAUCCUUCGGCUAGAAUCCCAGAUAAAGUGCCACUGGAGUAUAGAGCUAUUUCUUUUUGGCAGUUCAGUUUGCUCCAUCUGUGGUGUUGGGAACUAAUAGGACGCAAACCAUAUUCUGAUCGCUUGCCAGUUUGCCAAUUAUGUUUGGAGUCAAAUUUGCCUUUGGAUUUAAAUCCUUCCCAUCAAGCUGAAUAUAUAGCAUACUCACAGGUUGAUUUAACGAAGAUGCAGUUUUCUGAUAUUAGCUUUGAUGCAGCAUACGCAGUUGAUGCUACUUGCUAUGCUCCAGGUAAACAUGUUCGUGGGUCCUACCCAAAACAUUAGAGGUGGUUUCUCAGAGGUUUUUACGACGGUGAUCUUUAUAUGGUUUAGAUAAUCAUUAUUAGAGAACAUGAAAUAUAAGUGGAAUUAAGGGAAAACAGGUGAACAUAUGUUUCUUAGAAUUGCUUCUGGUUUUGUUAUUCCUAUUUUUUUCCAUAUGUGAGUUGGGUAUGAGUAGCUAUGCUCUGUUUCACUUUUAUCUUCAAAGAACGCCACCUCCUGGAUUCCAACCCUAUAUCGAUCUUUUAUUAAUGAAAUCCUUCUCACUCCCAAAUCUGCCUACGCAUGUACCUUUUUUGACCUCCUAGAUUCCCAACUAGCCCUCUGUCUGCAAACACAUUGGGGCCCUAAUUUAACAAAAUUGGUUUGCCCGCUUUCAACGGGUACUCGAGUUUUGCUGGAAUCAGAGUGUGGAUUGUAACCAGCCACUUUAUUAAAAGUAGUUCAAAGCACUAUGUGGAGUUCAUGGGCCUUUGAGUCCUACUGCCCUAUCUUCCACACGUCGACUCUGGUGACAUGGGGAUGCCAAUUGGAAACCACAACAGAGAAAAUGAUGAGUGUGGCAUUCAGCCUGAUACACCAGAUGCUGCUGGUGGCCACCACAAUGAAACCAGCCCAAACAAUAUGCUACCAUGUGUGGUGUUUGGUGAGAUGAUAACAUCAGAUGAUAAUGAAGAGAAUAUUGAAGAUAGAAUUACAAGACCUGAUGCAUUAGAUGGUAAUGAGUAAUGCAUACCAUAACGGUUCUUCUGGUUCAGAUAGAAUUACAAGACCUGAUCCAUUAAAGAUAUGAAUGGGAUUUUAGGUAAUCAUCAGCUCCUUGGUCUGAGAAUAAUGAGGAUGAUGGCCUUGUGAUAAAUGUUCAGGAUGGGAACAAUAAAGAUAGGCCCAUUAAUGGUAUUGGCAUUUAUGUAGCCCAUCGUAAUAUAUAUGGUAGGUGCCAGUGGGCUUUGAUAGAAUGGGCCAGAGGUAAUCAUCAAGCCUUCGUUUAGAAUACGUUGGGCUUUAUACAUCAGUAACAAGCUUGGAAAGUGGCCUGAAGAUAUGAUCAGUAGGAAGGAUUCUUAGACUAACAAGUAUUUCACAAGCAUUUUGCACACCAAAGUUAAUUCGAAUAAUAUAGGCAUUGGAAGUCAUUGUGUCUGUAGUUUUUGUUGUCUUGGGCCAAUUUGGUUCGUUGGGUAUCUGUCAUGGGCCUUAGUUAGCCUUUAGGUUUUAGAAUUAGGAAUAGUUGUAAUUGUAGUAGAGUUGGGCCGGUUUUUGUUUUUUGUAUUUGGGCUAAGACUUUCACUAAAUCAACUAGAUUUUUUAUUAUUGUAUGUUCUUUCAUAUUAAUUUUCCAUUUAGUUA